This 243-nucleotide ribosomal RNA is filed under the name uncultured bacterium. RNAcentral describes it as "partial 16S ribosomal RNA". It matches the Rfam family "Bacterial small subunit ribosomal RNA", at positions 15 to 249 of the family's 1533-position model. The record is from RNAcentral.
GAUCCGGGCUCAGGAUGAACGCUAGCUACAGGCUUAACACAUGCAAGUCGAGGGGCAGCAUGAACUUAGCUUGCUAAGUUUGAUGGCGACCGGCGCACGGGUGAGUAACACGUAUCCAACCUUCCGUUUACUCAGGGAUAGCCUUUCGAAAGAAAGAUUAAUACCUGAUAGUAUGGUGAGAUUGCAUGAUAACACCAUUAAAGAUUUAUUGGUAAACGAUGGGGAUGCGUUCCAUUAGGUAGG